GGGUCGUUAGCUCAGUUGCUAGAGCAGCGGCCUUUUAAUCCGUUUGUACCGCGUUCGAGUCGCGGACGACCCACCA
This 76-nucleotide transfer RNA is filed under the name Acinetobacter seifertii. Its description in RNAcentral is "tRNA-Lys". It matches the Rfam family "tRNA". From Rfam's summary of the family: Transfer RNA (tRNA) molecules are approximately 80 nucleotides in length. Their secondary structure includes four short double-helical elements and three loops (D, anti-codon, and T loops). Lineage: Bacteria; Pseudomonadati; Pseudomonadota; Gammaproteobacteria; Moraxellales; Moraxellaceae. The record is from RNAcentral.